Molecule: non-coding RNA, 21 nt
Filed under: Caenorhabditis elegans
Lineage: Eukaryota; Metazoa; Nematoda; Chromadorea; Rhabditida; Rhabditidae
Source: RNAcentral
UUUUUUUGAAUUUAAUAUUGC